ACAGAUCAGGGUCAGUUGAAACACAAACACUCUUGACCCAAUCAACAAAAGUCUGGAAGGCGGUCCCUGUUUCCCUCCAAAACUAUGUCGUCUGCAGCCAACAUAAUUUCUCAGGCCAAAACAGGUACUCCUUCAAUCACUCACUCCACUCUAGGAAGAGUUAAAAUAACUAAUCAUUGACUUUCGCAAUAAAUUACGCCUCUCGCGUCUUGCUUUCCUAAGGUUUGCCAACUUAGGGUUUCUAGGUCCCAACGACCUAUAGCAAAGCUCUGAUACCAA
RNAcentral lists this long non-coding RNA (279 nucleotides) under Ananas comosus (pineapple). RNAcentral describes it as "long non-coding RNA (ACOM_LNC019466)". Lineage: Eukaryota; Viridiplantae; Streptophyta; Magnoliopsida; Poales; Bromeliaceae. The record is from RNAcentral.